GGGGUGCAGCAGGCGCGAAAACUUUACAAUGCGGGAAACCGUGAUAAGGGGACACCGAGUGCCAGCAUCAUAUGCUGGCUGUCCAGGUGUGUAAAAUACACCUGUUAGCAAGGGCCGGGCAAGACCGGUGCCAGCCGCCGCGGUAACACCGGCGGCCCGAGUGGUGAUCGUGAUUAUUGGGUCUAAAGGGUCCGUAGCCGGUUUGGUCAGUCCUCCGGGAAAUCUGAUAGCUCAACUAUUAGGCUUUCGGGGGAUACUGCCAGACUUGGAACCGGGAGAGGUAAGAGGUACUACAGGGGUAGGAGUGAAAUCUUGUAAUCCCUGUGGGACCACCUGUGGCGAAGGCGUCUUACCAGAACGGGUUCGACGGUGAGGGACGAAAGCUGGGGGCACGAACCGGAUUAGAUACCCGGGUAGUCCCAGCCGUAAACGAUGCUCGCUAGGUGUCAGACAUGGCGCGACCGUGUCUGGUGCCGCAGGGAAGCCGUGAAGCGAGCCACCUGGGAAGUACGGCCGCAAGGCUGAAACUUAAAGGAAUUGGCGGGGGAGCAC
This 552-nucleotide ribosomal RNA is filed under the name uncultured archaeon. Its description in RNAcentral is "bacterial SSU rRNA". It matches the Rfam family "Archaeal small subunit ribosomal RNA", at positions 327 to 879 of the family's 1478-position model. The record is from RNAcentral.